Long non-coding RNA from Anguilla rostrata (American eel), 196 nucleotides. RefSeq lists it as uncharacterized. NCBI's taxonomy places the organism in Eukaryota, Metazoa, Chordata, Actinopteri, Anguilliformes, Anguillidae. The transcript is spliced from 3 exons. The record is from RefSeq and is a predicted model, not a curated record.
AGUCAAUAUAUUUUUCACUGAAACUGUUUGCUCUUUUGAUUUUUCUCUCCUUUUUCUGCUAAGCAAUAACCAGGAAGUGUCCAACAUGUUGCCGCUUACCAUGCUGAUGUUUUUUCUUGGACUGUGUGCAUCACUUCCUGAAACAGAUGAUCAUGAAGAAAUUGAGCCUUUGAUCAGUGAUGAGGUGGGUCAAAAU